UACGUAGGGUGCAAGCGUUGUCCGGAAUUACUGGGUGUAAAGGGAGCGUAGGCGGGAUUGUAAGUUGGAUGUGUAAUGUACCGGCUCAACCGGUAACUUGCAUUCAAAACUGCAGUUCUUGAGUGAAGUAGAGGCAGGCGGAAUUCCUAGUGUAGCGGUGAAAUGCGUAGAUAUUAGGAGGAACACCAGUGGCGAAGGCGGCCUGCUGGGCUUUUACUGACGCUGAGGCUCGAAAGCAUGGGUAGCAAAC
This 250-nucleotide ribosomal RNA is filed under the name uncultured bacterium. Its description in RNAcentral is "partial 16S ribosomal RNA". It matches the Rfam family "Bacterial small subunit ribosomal RNA", at positions 524 to 773 of the family's 1533-position model. The record is from RNAcentral.